UGGCGGCAUGCCUAACACAUGCAAGUCGAACGAAGGCUUCGGCCUUAGUGGCGCACGGGUGCGUAACGCGUGGGAAUCUGCCCUUGGGUUCGGAAUAACAGUGAGAAAUUACUGCUAAUACCGGAUGAUGACUUCGGUCCAAAGAUUUAUCGCCCAAGGAUGAGCCCGCGUAAGAUUAGCUAGUUGGUGAGGUAAAGGCUCACCAAGGCGACGAUCUUUAGCUGGUCUGAGAGGAUGAUCAGCCACACUGGGACUGAGACACGGCCCAGACUCCUACGGGAGGCAGCAGUGGGGAAUAUUGGACAAUGGGCGAAAGCCUGAUCCAGCAAUGCCGCGUGAGUGAUGAAGGCCUUAGGGUUGUAAAGCUCUUUUACCAGGGAUGAUAAUGACAGUACCUGGAGAAUAAGCUCCGGCUAACUCCGUGCCAGCAGCCGCGGUAAUACGGAGGGAGCUAGCGUUGUUCGGAAUUACUGGGCGUAAAGCGCACGUAGGCGGCCAUUCAAGUCAGAGGUGAAAGCCCGGGGCUCAACCCCGGAACUGCCUUUGAAACUAGAUGGCUUGAAUCUUGGAGAGGCGAGUGGAAUUCCGAGUGUAGAGGUGAAAUUCGUAGAUAUUCGGAAGAACACCAGUGGCGAAGGCGACUCGCUGGACAAGUAUUGACGCUGAGGUGCGAAAGCGU
Molecule: ribosomal RNA, 679 nt
Filed under: Blastomonas natatoria
Lineage: Bacteria; Pseudomonadati; Pseudomonadota; Alphaproteobacteria; Sphingomonadales; Blastomonadaceae
Description: bacterial SSU rRNA
Rfam family: Bacterial small subunit ribosomal RNA
Source: RNAcentral